UACGUAGGGGGCAAGCGUUGUCCGGAAUCAUUGGGCGUAAAGCGCGUGUAGGCGGCUCGAUAAGUCUGCUGUGAAAGUUCAGGGCUCAACCCUGAAAUGCCGGUGGAAACUGUCGAGCUAGAGUCCGGAAGAGGCGAGUGGAAUUCCUGGUGUAGCGGUGAAAUGCGUAGAGAUCGGGAGGAACACCAGAGGCGAAGGCGGCGACCUGGAACAGUACUGACACUCAACUACGAAAGCGUGGGUAGCAAACAGG
Molecule: ribosomal RNA, 253 nt
Filed under: uncultured bacterium
Lineage: Bacteria
Description: partial 16S ribosomal RNA
Rfam family: Bacterial small subunit ribosomal RNA
Source: RNAcentral